Molecule: ribosomal RNA, 497 nt
Filed under: uncultured bacterium
Lineage: Bacteria
Description: partial 16S ribosomal RNA
Rfam family: Bacterial small subunit ribosomal RNA
Source: RNAcentral
GAUGAACGCUGGCGGCGUGCCUAAUACAUGCAAGUCGAGCGAACAGACGAGGAGCUUGCUCCUCUGACGUUAGCGGCGGACGGGUGAGUAACACGUGGAUAACCUACCUAUAAGACUGGGAUAACUUCGGGAAACCGGAGCUAAUACCGGAUAAUAUAUUGAACCGCAUGGUUCAAUAGUGAAAGACGGUUUUGCUGUCACUUAUAGAUGGAUCCGCGCCGCAUUAGCUAGUUGGUAAGGUAACGGCUUACCAAGGCAACGAUGCGUAGCCGACCUGAGAGGGUGAUCGGCCUCACUGGAACUGAGACACGGUCCAGACUCCUACGAGAGGCAGCAGUAGGGAAUCUUCCGCAAUGGGCGAAAGCUUGACGGAGCAACGCCGCGUGAGUGAUGAAGGUCUUCGGAUCGUAAAACUCUGUUAUUAGGGAAGAACAAAUGUGUAAGUAACUAUGCACGUCUUGACGGUACCUAAUCAGAAAGCCACGGCUAACUACGUG